This 480-nucleotide ribosomal RNA is filed under the name uncultured bacterium. RNAcentral describes it as "bacterial SSU rRNA". It matches the Rfam family "Bacterial small subunit ribosomal RNA", at positions 28 to 484 of the family's 1533-position model. The record is from RNAcentral.
GACGAACGCUGGCGGCGUGCCUAACACAUGCAAGUCGAACGGAGAAUUUUAUUUCGGUAGAAUUCUUAGUGGCGAACGGGUGAGUAACGCGUAGGCAACCUACCCUUUAGACGGGGACAACAUUCCGAAAGGAGUGCUAAUACCGGAUGUGAUCAUCUUGCCGCAUGGCAGGAUGAAGAAAGAUGGCCUCUACAAGUAAGCUAUCGCUAAAGGAUGGGCCUGCGUCUGAUUAGCUAGUUGGUAGUGUAACGGACUACCAAGGCGAUGAUCAGUAGCCGGUCUGAGAGGAUGAACGGCCACAUUGGGACUGAGACACGGCCCAAACUCCUACGGGAGGCAGCAGUGGGGAAUCUUCCGCAAUGGACGAAAGUCUGACGGAGCAACGCCGCGUGAGUGAUGAAGGAUUUCGGUCUGUAAAGCUCUGUUGUUAUGACGAACGUGCAGUGUGUGAACAAUGCAUUGCAAUGACGGUAGUAAACG